AGACCUGUCAAAGAAACUGUGGAGCUGAAAUUUGAACGUCUUUGUGCUGAUAUAGAAAUACUGGAGAAAAACAAAUGUGAACUUAGUUCACAGCACAAGUGGUCUGCUUUGAAAGACCUGGAGAAGGAAGAUAUGUUGAUUUUUAACACCUGAAAUAGUAUUCCUGACUCAUACAAUCAACUGAAGAAAACUAGCAUUUGCUGUUCUUUCCUUAUUCAGGUCUACAUAUUUAUGCGAACAAUCAUUUUCAAACAUGAACCUUAUCAAGAG
Myotis davidii is the source of this 270-nucleotide long non-coding RNA. RefSeq lists it as uncharacterized. NCBI's taxonomy places the organism in Eukaryota, Metazoa, Chordata, Mammalia, Chiroptera, Vespertilionidae. The transcript is spliced from 3 exons. The record is from RefSeq and is a predicted model, not a curated record.